AACCUUUACACUGCACGACAGUGCGAUAAGGGAAUCCCAAGUGCGUAGGCAUAGAGCCUACGCUUUUGUCCACCGUAGGGAGGUGGACGAAUAAGGGCUGGGCAAGACCGGUGCCAGCCGCCGCGGUAAUACCGGCAGCCCAAGUGAUGGCCGCUCUUAUUGGGCCUAAAGCGUCCGUAGCUGGCCAGGCAAGUCCGUCGGGAAAUCCGCGUGCCCAACACGCGGGCGUCCGGUAGAAACUGCGUGGCUUGGGACCGGAAGGCGCGACGGGUACGUCCGGGGUAGGAGUGAAAUCCCGUAAUCCUGGACGGACCGCCGAUGGCGAAAGCACGUCGCGAAGACGGAUCCGACAGUGAGGGACGAAAGCUAGGGUCUCGAACCGGAUUAGAUACCCGGGUAGUCCUAGCCGUAAACAAUGCCUGCUAGGUGUGGCUCCCACUACGAGUGGGUGCUGUGCCGUAGGGAAGCCGCUAAGCAGGCCGCCUGGGAAGUACGUCCGCAAGGAUGAAACUUAA
Molecule: ribosomal RNA, 515 nt
Filed under: uncultured archaeon
Lineage: Archaea
Description: bacterial SSU rRNA
Rfam family: Archaeal small subunit ribosomal RNA
Source: RNAcentral